Molecule: long non-coding RNA, 1121 nt
Filed under: Chrysemys picta bellii (western painted turtle)
Lineage: Eukaryota; Metazoa; Chordata; Testudines; Emydidae
Description: lncRNA (ENSCPBG00000002782.1)
Source: RNAcentral
CAGACAGAGAUAAACACCUACAAGAUCUCUAUCAAGCAUUCUUAAAACUACAAUACCCACCUGCUGAAGUGAAAAAACAGAUUGACAGAGCCAGAAGAGUACCCAGAAGACGCCACCUACAGGGCAGGCCCAACAAAGAAAAUAACAGAACGCCACCAGCCGCCACCUUCAGCCCCCAACUGAAACCUCUCCAGCGCAUCAUCAGAGAUCUACAACCUAUCCUGAAAGAUGAUCACUCACUCUCACAGAUCUUGGGAGACAGACCAGUCCUCGCUUACAGACAACCCCCCAACCUUAAGCAAAUACUCACCAGCAACCGCACACCAUACAACAAAAACACUGACCCAGGAACCUAUCCUUGCAACAAAGUCCGAUGCCAGCUCUGUCCACAUAUCUAUUCAAGUGACACCCUCAUAGGACCUAAUCACAUCAGCCAUGCCAUCAGGGGCUCGUUCACCUGCACAUCUACCAAUGUGAUAUAUGCCAUCAUGUGCCAGCAAUGCCCCUCUGCCAUGUACAUUGGCCAAACUGGACAGUCCCUACGCAAAAGAAUAAAUGGACACAAAUCUGAUAUCAGGAAACAUAACAUUCAAAAACCAGUGGGAGAACACUUCAACCUCUCUAAUCACUCAGUGACAGACUUGGAGGUGUCAGUUUUGCAACAAAAAAACUUCAAAAACAGACUCCAAAGAGAGACUGCUGAACUCGAAUUAAUAUGGAAAUUAGACACAAUUAACUUAGGCCUAAACAGAGACUGGGAAUGGUUGGGUCAUUACACUAAUUGAAUUUUUUUCCCCCCAUGUUAAGUUCUCCUCACACCUUCUAUGGGUCAUCUCGAUUAUCACUUCAAAGUUUUUUCUUCUGCUGCUACUGAUAGCUCAUCUCAACUGAUUGGCCUCUUACAAUUGGUAUGCGUACUUCCACCUUUUCAUGUUCUCUGUAUGGAUAAAUAUCUUCUGUGUGUGUGUGUUUCACUCUAUGCAUCCGAAGAAGUGGGCUGUAGCCCACGAAAGCUUAUGCUGAAAUCAAUGUGUUAGUCUCCAAGGUGCCACAAGUACUCCUGUUCUUUUUGCGGAUACAGACUAACACGGCUGCUACCUUGUAACUUGCUCCUUCCCUUU